Homo sapiens (human) is the source of this 578-nucleotide long non-coding RNA. RefSeq lists it as uncharacterized. The transcript has 3 exons. NCBI's taxonomy places the organism in Eukaryota, Metazoa, Chordata, Mammalia, Primates, Hominidae. The record is from RefSeq and is a predicted model, not a curated record.
CUCACUAUCAGUUCUGAGAUUCUGCAGCCAAGAAGGAAAGCUCUUCCAGGACACUUAAGAUCAUGCCUCUCGAAGAGAAAAGCAAUAAUGUUCUUCAUAUUUUACCAGCUACACAAAACACCCAGAAAGGAAGAUAUAACAAAGACUGAAAAUGGAUGAAAUGAUACAGGUCUCUACUACAAUCUAGGUAGCUCCUAAUUCUUGUCUAGGGCUGAUUCUUGCUAAUCUUUACCUCAGAGAGUUUCUCAGUGUCAAUGAGGACUACACACAAAGGGCUUAAAAACAAACAAACAAACAAACAGGGAAAUCCUCUAUAAUUCUUCACUAGAUGGUGGUUUACAGAUUAUUGGUAUAAUGGCAUCCUGAAAUGGUCUAUCAAUAUGUACUAGACAUGUAAGUAAAAAACAGGUUUAUUCAUCUAUAAAUUUAUUUACAUAGAGACUACAUUAUUUAUUCUGCAUUAAAAUUGAAUCAGGAGAUGAAGACAAGAGGAAACAUUUAAUCACUAUGAAUACAGUGAUUUAAAAAAAUUAUAUAAGUAAGCCCUGGCAACAAAGUGAGAUCCCAUCUCUACAAAA